This 87-nucleotide non-coding RNA is filed under the name Deinococcus proteolyticus. Its description in RNAcentral is "ZTP sequence". It matches the Rfam family "ZMP/ZTP riboswitch aptamer (pfl RNA motif)". Rfam says of the family: Previously known as pfl RNA. ZMP is also known as AICAR. RNAcentral also lists the same sequence under 1 other name. The record is from RNAcentral. Lineage: Bacteria; Thermotogati; Deinococcota; Deinococci; Deinococcales; Deinococcaceae.
AGAGCUCGCAGUGACUGGCGCCGCGACGUGGACCACCACGGGGAAGCUGCGAGAAAUCAAGGGAGGCCGCGCGCCUGGGUCGGAUGG